GCGAGUCCCAGAGACUGCUCCUGAGUUGAAAAGGGAUUCCCUCGCCAGCACGAGCUCUGAUGGCUUGGGCUCUUUACAAGUAAGUUUAAAAGCGAGAGAGAUGAAAGGGAAAGGUUUAUGUUGUACUGAGAUAUGCUUAGAUAACCUCCAGCAUUCGGAAGAAAACACUGUUAGGGGGCUUUAGGUUGUCUUUUCUUUCUUGACAUGUCUGAGCGCUGUGGCCUUAACCAUUUUUUUUCCUUCAACCUGCUAGAAUUCCCGACGGCCUAAAGUUCUUCAAAGAGAGGUAGAUGUGUAUGGUAUUUGCAUUAACUAGCAACAUGGCUAAUUGGAAAUGAGGAAAAAAAAAAAACACUGAAGUAUUUGUGUGUGUUUGUGUGUGAUUAAUAUAAUUAAAUAAAAAAGAUUUCUCGAAAUUAGUUUUUUACCUUUAAUAAGGUUAUUUAUAUUUAAUUUCAGGUAAAUUUAUGUUAUUGAUCAAAAAAUGCAGAGUGGUUAGUAGUAAAUUUUUCAUUUUAGUGUUAAAAGUGUUCUGGACAGUUUCAGGUGGCCUACUUGUAUCUACUUACAUUAGAAUUUCAAUUGUCUUAUUAACAUCUUAAAAAUGACUAUUCCUAAAUCAAAAUAAAUAUUAUUGCUGGCAGCAUGCCUAUUAAAAAUAUUUUUUUUUCUUUUGCUUCUGUGGCAAUUAACUAAUGAAACAGGCAAUUAACUAAUGAAACAGGCCUAUAAGUACUUGUAUUUCGUCUGUUGUGUUUUGGAACUCAUUGUGAAGACCAGCUCUUUGCAUGUUGCUUAAUUAAUCUUUAAAAUAAAGUGAGAAGUGUAGCGGGAGAGAAGGCUCAGCAGUUAAGAGCACUGUCAUCCCUUCCAGGGGAACUGGGUUCAAUCCCAACACCCACAUACUGGCUCACAGUCC
This 919-nucleotide long non-coding RNA is filed under the name Rattus norvegicus (Norway rat). RNAcentral's name for it is "long non-coding RNA NONRATT018230". The record is from RNAcentral. Lineage: Eukaryota; Metazoa; Chordata; Mammalia; Rodentia; Muridae.